This is a long non-coding RNA of Canis lupus familiaris (dog), 1787 nucleotides long. RefSeq lists it as uncharacterized. Lineage: Eukaryota; Metazoa; Chordata; Mammalia; Carnivora; Canidae. The transcript is spliced from 2 exons. The record is from RefSeq and is a predicted model, not a curated record.
ACGCUACUAGCGUAACGGCCCUCACGCCGCCGGCGUAGCACCACCUACUGACCGCCCCCCUCACGCUGCCUGCGUAAUCGCUUUGGAAUCAGCUUGAGGGCUACGCAGCCGACGUAGCCAAGGUGGUUGGUCUGGGCUAUGGUCGAAAAUAACCGAAAACCCACAUUCCGCCGUGCCCCACCGAGCUGGGCACCACAAGGGCUAGGAACUGCCGAUUGUAUUCUGAGGCUUGGUGCUCCGAAAAGUCUUUUCGGAUACAAGGUGAAAAGGGGGAGGGGGGGAAGCAGAGAAUUUUAAGGACAGCUAUUCACGAAACGCGUCGGUACGCCGAAGGCGGCUGCUGACUCCAAAACAAAGUAGUACCCAAACGGAGAAGCUGGAUCUCCGGGAAGAAAGGAGGGCAGACACGAAACAGGUAUUCGCAGAAACGCACAGAACGCCUAGGUUCCCAGGAGGAGUGGACCAAUGGGGACCGGAGAGGAGGUCCGAAAGCUCUGGUUCGCCGGGACCCACGGCUGUCCCUCCGACCCCACCCAGGGCACUCAUCCUGCGGCCGAGACCCUUCCCACCAAAGGUCGACUCGUUCCCUGCUCCUUCCUCCGGAGCCAGCACCGCUGCUCCCUGACCCUCGGGCCUCGGCCUCCGCUUUGGGGAGCCAGGGUGGAUGUGAACAAAGACUCCUCCCCUCAUUUCCCAACCCUGAGAGAAGGACCUAGGGCAGCUUUGGUUUCAAAGUUAUAAUGCAUGGUUUAAAAGAGAGGAAAGAAAAAGAGAGCGCGCCGGUUACAGGUCUGAGAGUAUAGGAAGAAGGGAAUGUAGAGGGAAAGGUUGGGGGCAGGGGGACAAGUUUGGGGAAAAUCCAGUGGCCCAAAAUCCCAGUUCCCCACCCACAGCCCAGCCCUUGGAGUGAAGAAUUAGAUCAGUUUUGUACAAGAGUUUUUAAAAAAUCAAAUCACAACAAAGCUGGCUUGGCUUUUCUUUGAGCCUCCCGGAUUACCGAAUGUCUGUGUGUCAUUCUGGCCAGUCCUGUCUCCACCAGACAGUUUGGACUCUCCUGGGCCUCCGCUUAUGUCCCAGUCUGGGGUUUCCAGAGAGUGCGAACACGAAGUUAGAGUGAGGCUGCUGCAGAGUCUGACCCAUGUGUCCAUCCAGACUCCGUGUGGAGUGCAGGGCUCCCAGGGCAGAGAGGGGCGGGAGGGGCAGACCCUGCCCAGACAGUCCUCACCAUGGGACAGGGCAUCAGACGGCAUCCCGAGUGCUCACCCUCCCUUUCCCCCCCACCCCAACUCAGGUGGAGGGGGAGCAGCUGUCACCAGAGCCGAUGUUGGUGAAGGUUUCGGCUCAGCACAGAACGAACAUCAGCGGUGAACCUGGGACGACAAUAACUUGCAUUGGUAGAGUCCUCAAAACACUAGCGUUAGGCAGCCUCAUUGGAGAUGUGGGGCAAAAUGAUCACCUUUCUCACAUGAAACUGAGGUCCAGUUUGCCCAAAACCCACUGGCUAAAAGUGAUGAGCUUUACUGUAAGAAGGCCUGGGUUCAAAUGCUAAGUUCUUAAGGGAAAAGAGAUAAAUAAGUCAAACAGGACAUAUAUUUAUUCCCUCUUGGGAUCCCCCACCUCCUUUCCUCAGAAACCUAAGUGUCUAGCUUCCCUUACCUGAGGGCAUCCAGCAUUGGAAGCAGAUUGAGAAGGGCGGUGUCGCUGGGGUCACUGAACCAGGAUUUGAUGGGGAUGGCAUUGUCUAGGACACAUGAAAAUAAAUGCACGUGAGAAAAAACAGUUCGAGA